GAGGGUUGUGACAUACCUCAGGUUGUGAGAGGCUGAAAUGAGAGUUGAUGCUAUGAUACUGUGAAAAGCUGAGAACCCAUUCUGGACUCAGCCUUCUACAGAAAGACCUGUAGUGACUACUGCUAACAGAGACUCUGAGUAUCACCCAGUGUGUAAAGCUUUGUUAUGCAUGAACCAUGUACGAAACAGAAACUGGGAUGCAUUGCUCUCACAGCGAUGAAAACGGACAUUCCACAGCUGGGUCAAUGCAUGCAAAACUUCAGAUUUCCCAGAUAUGUCACAUCAAUGAGACAGUUACUUGCCGAAGAGCCAGCUUGUCUAAGAAGUGCUGAUAAGAAGCAGAUGUCCCAUUUAAUUUAACUGUACAAUAAGAAGGUAAGGAGCCUGAGCACUGCGCAAUACCAGAAUUAAGAAUCAUUUAUGGAGAAAUGGAUCACCACUCCCCUGGGAACUCUCUAAUAGCAGGCUCCCUGUCAGAGGAAAGAGCCUAAGGGCUAGUAGAGUGCUAUAGCAGAGGGACCCUAAGGUAAUCCCUUCCACCUCGAAGUAAGAGAAGACUGUGUCACUAUCACCUAAUGGAGAACGAACAAGUGCAUCUGACUCCAGUCCGUUGCCAAGAGGACACCGGCAAUCAAAACUGAUGUUAUUGCCAUUCCACAUCCUGCUCUGAAACCUGGCAUCCAUCCAACAAGUAACAUAUAAACUACUACUGCUGUAGGCCUGCCAUUACUGUCUCAGUAUCUUUCUCAGAAAAGUGAAUUUACACACAAGGCAUCAAAUAAAAUAUCGACAUUGUCAACUUCUAUUUUUUAUUUCAAUGGUAUUAAUGCACUACUUUUAAAUUGCCAGAUACGAAAAUUGACAUGCCUAAUCCUGCAAAAGCGCAUAAACUAGCCCCUACAGUAAUGAGCCAAACAUAGACACACUUAUAUCUCUGCCCCAAUUUUAUACAUAUGUAAAAUUGAUUUAUUCAUUAAAAUUCAGAAUGAAUCCUUUGUUCAUUUAUAAUACUUAGUUUAAAAAAAUUCAGUAGCAGUAAUAACUGAGGACAGAUCUUACGCACUUUACAAAUGUUAAAGUUAGCUUCAAAACACAUUGCCUUCCAUGAGUAAUAAAUAGCACGGGGUAAAAUUUUGUAACUGCUGAUUUUCAGUGAGACUUGGUGCUUGAAUCACUUUCAAAAACAGAAUUUCAGUGUUUCUGAAAGUCUCAUCUACAAUUUCCGUUCUUAUACUGUGAAAGCAGAUCCAUCUUCCAAGUUAUCCUUGUAGUAACCACAGUCUUUACUUGAUACUGAAACUGUUUGCAAGUUCUCUGAUACAAGAGCAGCAGACUUAAACUGAAAAGGGCACAAGCAUCCUUCUGAAGUGCUUGAAUUAUGCACAAGACAUCUAACACAGACCCUGCCGAAAAGACCAGUUUAGUAACUUGCAUCAUUAUUGCCACACCUCUGGGUAUCAUUUUUGUUGCUGAACAGUAAACAGUACCCUUCCGAUAAACACACACAGAACAGAAAAUUGCUUAGACUGAAGUCACAGCAUUUUCUGUAAAAGGUAGCACAACCGAGAAGGCUCACUUUCUUAUCUUACUUCACGUGCUCAAAUAUAUUUCUCAGGGUAAGGAGCACUACUGAUAGAAAA
This is a long non-coding RNA of Harpia harpyja (harpy eagle), 1640 nucleotides long. RefSeq lists it as uncharacterized. The transcript has 3 exons. Lineage: Eukaryota; Metazoa; Chordata; Aves; Accipitriformes; Accipitridae. The record is from RefSeq and is a predicted model, not a curated record.